Molecule: non-coding RNA, 780 nt
Organism: Onychostoma macrolepis
Lineage: Eukaryota; Metazoa; Chordata; Actinopteri; Cypriniformes; Cyprinidae
Source: the annotation of a RefSeq genome assembly
GAGCACAGAGAGCAUUAACACACAACUGAUCUGAUCAUAUUCACCAUGAACAAAUACAUGCUGCUGCUUUUCAUUAUGGCAUCAGCUGCUGUCCUCGGAAAUGCCAUUAAACCAAACAAAACAGAUGUUUUCGCUGAUGAGGGUUCAAGUGUUACAUUAUCCUGUAGUUUUUCUGCAUCUGGAGGUUCAGAUUAUCUCUACUGGUACCGUCAGUAUGGAAGAUCAAAUCCUGAAUUUCUUGUACUCACCUUCGGUAGUGCAACGGAAGCUAAGGUGUCUGAUGUAGAUCCAAGAUUCACUGUUAAAGUUCCACAAAGGGAAAAUGUGAUUCUGGAGAUCUCCUCUGCUGCUGUAUCAGACUCUGCUCUGUACUACUGUGCUCUGCAGCCCACAGUGACAGGAAACACAUCAGCUCUCUACAAAAACCUGUUACUAUGAGAGACGAGACAAGAGAGAAAGAAAAUGUCAAAAAGAAGCUAGCAUACAAAUAUUUAAGUAAUCUAAUGCAAAAAGGAUCAAAUCAUGUAUUCUAAAAUGAGUCAAAUUAUUUUUAAUCUGUUAAUUUGUGAAAUUUAGCUGUUUUGUUUAUGCAAUUCUUGCAGUUAACCAGUAGAUGGCAGUAGGUACUUAAUAUUACCUUUGAGAAUACAGUAGGUUGGUUAUUUAUUUAUUUUUGGAUCAUCAUUAUUAUACUAAAAGCUUCCAACCACUGAUUUAUCUUUAAAGAGCAUUCAACAUGUCACACUGCUUCUUUUCACACUAUUCAUUCUUGGUAUGGAC